This 429-nucleotide ribosomal RNA is filed under the name Chloroflexota bacterium. RNAcentral describes it as "Chloroflexi bacterium partial 16S ribosomal RNA". It matches the Rfam family "Bacterial small subunit ribosomal RNA", at positions 355 to 776 of the family's 1533-position model. Lineage: Bacteria; Bacillati; Chloroflexota. The record is from RNAcentral.
UGGGGAAUAUUGCACAAUGGGCGCAAGCCUGAUGCAGCCAUGCCGCGUGUAUGAAGAAGGCCUUCGGGUUGUAAAGUACUUUCAGUCGGGAGGAAGGUGGUAAGGUUAAUAACCUUGGCAAUUGACGUUACCGACAGAAGAAGCACCGGCUAACUCCGUGCCAGCAGCCGCGGUAAUACGGCGGGUGCAAGCGUUAAUCGGAAUUACUGGGCGUAAAGCGCACGCAGGCGGUUUGUUAAGUCAGAUGUUAAAUCCCCGGGCUCAACCUGGGAACUGCAUCUGAUACUGGCAAGCUUGAGUCUCGUAGAGGGGGGUAGAAUUCCAGGUGUAGCGGUGAAAUGCGUAGAGAUCUGGAGGAAUACCGGUGGCGAAGGCGGCCCCCUGGACGAAGACUGACGCUCAGGUGCGAAAGCGUGGGGAGCAAACAGG